Molecule: ribosomal RNA, 274 nt
Filed under: uncultured bacterium
Lineage: Bacteria
Description: partial 16S ribosomal RNA
Rfam family: Bacterial small subunit ribosomal RNA
Source: RNAcentral
CUACGGAGGGUGCAAGCGUUACUCGGAAUCACUGGGCGUAAAGCGCGCGCAGGCGGUCUUUUAAGUUGGAUGUGAAAGCCUACGGCUCAACCGUAGAACUGCAUCCAAAACUAUUAGACUAGAGUGUGGGAGAGGAAGAUGGAAUUAGUUGUGUAGGGGUAAAAUCCGUAGAGAUAACUAGGAAUACCAAAAGCGAAGGCAAUCUUCUGGAACACUACUGACGCUGAGGCGCGAAAGCGUGGGGAGCAAACAGGAUUAGAAACCCCGGUAGUCC